GUUGUAACCUGAAAGUGAUAUAUUGUAAUUUAAAAGAACGCAAUAUUAAAUUCUCGUACAAACACAAUGCACGCAUAUUUAACCAAGCUACAUUGUUACUUACGUGACACUUUUAUACGGAAUAAUUAACCACUUUCGUUAUAAGAAACUCAAGACGACCACCGACACUCCGCGGUCCCCUUAAAAAAACAUAAGCUAACCGAUGCCUACAGCGCUGACAGUCUUAUUGAUGCGAUAUUAUUCCGCUACGCGGCGCUGUUGAAUUCUCAUUCUCGUGAGGGACUCUUUCACUUAUGCCGUGCAGGAAAUAUCCUGACAGUUUGCAUUAUCAAGAAGCUGAUUGUUUUACGAUCUAGUGACGUUACGAUUACGUGAAGAAUCCAUACGUGCUACUAACAAGUGUUAAAUGCAUCCGUUACGUGGGACGUUAAUCCAGAAAGCCUUACAGUGUGUAGUGAACACGAAGCAUGGAGUUGGUUAUGUGGAAUUUUGAAAAUUGAAAAUCUUCAGCAUUACGCGAUGAAUAAUAGAGGCUCUCUAUACCUUAUAUAAGGCUACAGCAUCGUUUAUUGACAGUGUAAAGGUCCAUUCAUAUCGACGCACAAGAUUACUCCUAUGUACGAUCCUUAUCUGACAUGUGAAGUGAGGAUUCAGGCAUCAAGCAUGAUAAUGGCCGCAAGGUACGCUACACUUACGCAUAUUGAGUAACACUCAUAUGGUCUGUCAUAAAAAUGGAAAAGAUACCUUCUGAAUUUGCAUAUUUUACUCAAAAUAUCAUUCGCCCUCAACACUCUCCCAGAUACGACUAAGCCGUUGUUCGGAUGAAUACAAAAUAAGCAAAGAAGACUCGUAAGACGCGGAUUCCAUCAUGCUGUACGUAGCGCGCCGCGCGCGCCAUUAUAUUACGUAAAACUCGGUGUUCUGUAUUUGGCACGAGGUGUCUAAAGCAAUUUACGUUACUCGUGGCCGUUUAGAACAGGGCCGCCACCUUCCCAGGGACUUGCACAGAAUAGCUUUGCUGUAAGAGACAUAGCUAGUGUCUACUGCCCUGAGAUAUGACCGCGUUAAUAAAGCAGGUGCAAGCCCAAUGCACGCCACGUUGCACACUAUUAAUGCACCCUGCACCCACUGUCAGUUGGCGCACUGGCAGCCCGUAUGAAACGGCUAUUCAUUCGACGAGGGUAGACACGAUUUCCAACAUGUUUUCGUAACGUUACUUUGCACUUUUUAUCUCAGACUGCCUGCACCAUUUUUUCUUAUCUCGAAACGGGAUUCCAGAGGGGAUAAAACAUACGGCUCAAUAUGUGGGUAUCGAGAGCAGUGGGGAUGUAGGUUACACGUUACAGUCUUGGAAAUUGCAUCUAAAUAUAUAUUAUAAGAUUCUUGGAAUAUAAUAUAUGUAUUUAACUACUCGAUUACGUUGAUAUAUUUUCAAUAUUUAUCCUCGAUGGCUUCGUACAAACCUAUGGAAGAAAAGUGCACUUGCACCCAGCCCCGCUGCAUUCGCUUACAAUCGUAGCGUACGCAGGAAAUGAUCGAGGUCUAAUUACCGGCGUGUGUGCGGUGCUCGUAAUUCAAAGACGCAGCCUCGGGACAGUCAUCUCCAUCAUGCGGAGGGAUGGAUUUUUCAGUGCACUCGCCGCUCUCGAGGCUUUCUUUACACGCGAUGCUGCACACGGUGACCCCCUGUUAAUUAGAGUUAUUGAAUAUCGAGCAUAGAAUUGAUCGCAACUGCAUCCGACAUACAUAUAGAAAUGCAUACACCGUGUAAAGAUGCGCAUUUUUCUUCUGGCACGAGCGCUAUGCACCCAUCUACCCACGUAUAUAUUUACGAUGCGAUAUUUAAUUCGGUUACCGUUUUAAAUGCACUUUC
Molecule: long non-coding RNA, 1873 nt
Organism: Cephus cinctus (wheat stem sawfly)
Lineage: Eukaryota; Metazoa; Arthropoda; Insecta; Hymenoptera; Cephidae
Exons: 5
Source: RefSeq, a predicted model, not a curated record